This 495-nucleotide ribosomal RNA is filed under the name uncultured bacterium. RNAcentral's name for it is "bacterial SSU rRNA". It matches the Rfam family "Bacterial small subunit ribosomal RNA", at positions 28 to 523 of the family's 1533-position model. The record is from RNAcentral.
GAUGAACGCUAGCGGCAGGCUUAACACAUGCAAGUCGAGGGGUAUUGGUUUUCGGACCAAGAGACCGGCGCACGGGUGCGUAACGCGUAUGCAAUCUACCUUUUGCAGAGGGAUAGCCCAGAGAAAUUUGGAUUAAUACCUCAUAGUAUAGUACUUUGGCAUCAAGGAACUAUUAAAGUCACAACGGCAAAAGAUGAGCAUGCGUCCCAUUAGCUAGUUGGUAAGGUAACGGCUUACCAAGGCUACGAUGGGUAGGGGUCCUGAGAGGGAGAUCCCCCCACACUGGUACUGAGACACGGACCAGACUCCUACGGGAGGCAGCAGUGAGGAAUAUUGGACAAUGGGCGCAAGCCUGAUCCAGCCAUGCCGCGCGCAGGAUGACGGUCCUAUGGAUUGUAAACUGCUUUUAUACAGGAAGAAACACUCCGACGUGUCGGAGCUUGACGGUACUGUAAGAAUAAGGAUCGGCUAACUCCGUGCCAGCAGCCGCGGUAA